Tetranychus urticae (two-spotted spider mite) is the source of this 2874-nucleotide non-coding RNA. Lineage: Eukaryota; Metazoa; Arthropoda; Arachnida; Trombidiformes; Tetranychidae. The record is from RefSeq and is a predicted model, not a curated record.
AUCUCAUAAUUUUGUUUUAUUAACCGUUGACUGUUAACCUGGAAUUCAAAUUUUAACCCUGAAUAUUAUGCUAUUUAUUCACAAUCCGCUGUCAUUACAUUCAAUUAAUAUUCAAUAGAAAUAUCAAAUCCUAAAAUAUUCAACACGUGGUAUUAAUCAUUUGAAUUGUUGAGCUGAUUUAAUGAUCAUCUCGUGUUCUGGCUUAAGAGAUUCACAUCUUCGGUGAAUUUAUUGGUGACCAGAUUAAGCUUAACUAAUGUAUUAUAAUAUAAUUAAAUAUAAUGUAAUGCGUUGGUUAUGAAAGCAAUUGAUAAUCAAAGCUUGAUUAUUCCCUGAUUUAUUCAAAACAUGAAUAAAAUUGACCAGAAAAUGAAAAAAUGAAUGUAAUCUGUAAUUUUAACACCAAUGAAAAGCGUCGAUAGGAGCGCAAGUAAUCAGCUGUUAUUAGCUUUUUCAUGUUUCUUGUUAUGGAAAGGCUUUACUGUUAGCAAGCAAACAAUAAUUUAAAUGAUUAUAUAUGUUAAUUUUUGUGCAAUUAAUUAAUCUAAUUUACGUAGUAAAAUGUAAAAUUUGUCCUUAAUUAACUGUGAUUCUCUGCUGUAUUGUUUUUACUCUGUUAACAUUGGAAUAUUCAUUGCAACUCAACUUUUCAAUGCUUCUUUACCAAGGUAAUCUUGUGACUCUAUUAAGAUGUGAUGAUAAUAAUGAUAGAGAUCAAAGAGAUGGAAGAAGAUUAACCAAGCAGAAAAUUGAUUCAAUAGGAACUCAUAGAAAUCAUCAUCAAACUCACCCAAAGCUCUGGCCAUAUAAAUAUAUCAAGAAUUUCAAGUGAUAAGCACCACAUCAAUGGAUUGAAGGAAAAUUUACAAGGGAAAGUCAACCAACAAAAAGGUUAUCAUGGUCAUGUUUUUACCUGUAAACAUUGAACUGGCCAGUUUCAUUCCAUGUUAACCAAUCAUUUAAUCAAAUUGACAUCAACUAAGCAUCAAGUCCAACUCCAGUGAAACAAGAGUCAAGCCAGAUGUAAUGUUAAAUUCAAAGUCAAUUCACUUAACUUCUCAUCGUAACCAGCUUUUUUUUCAUCUUUUAAAAUGAUUAAAAGACGAUGAUGAUGAUGAUUAUGAUGAUAGGAAGAGUCAUUAAACGAGGAGGAAAAGCUGAUGAAAGUGAAUAGCAAUAAUAAUAAAAAUUGAAGAUAAAGAAAUAAAUAAUAUAAACUAAGCCUCCAUAACUAUCAUGUUUAGCCCAUCAUCAUCAAAAUCACCAUCAUCAUUAUUACUAUCAUCAUCAUUGGAAGGAGAAAGAGAGAGAUAAAUUGACACACCCAAGCGUUUGUGAUCUCAACCUAACCUAACAAACACUCACCGUUAUCAUAAUCAACCGGUCGGAAACCAUUUACCUACAACUGCUCUUCAAAUAAGGUGGAAACAUUUGUCUUCAAUUAUUAAAUGUAUAAUGGUACAGCAAUUUGGAUCCAUCUUUAACCGUUAUAAGGAAAGGAUAAAGUUGAUGAAAAGUUGAUGAUGAUGAUGAAAAGAUUAAACAAAAAAGGAGAAGAUGAAAUGAUAGGAAAAAUGUGUCCUCAAUAACAAUGAUUGGUUCAAAUUUGCAAUGUUUUAUAAAAAGGAUGAUCAUGAAAUGUAUUAUAAAGCAAAGUGACAACAGAAGGGAAGCAAAAGUAAUAAGACAAUAAAACUAUAUUAAAAGGAGUAGAUUUGAAGUGCAAAAGAUCUCUUUCUCGCUUGAUCAAGUCUAAUCCAUGAAAACAACCCUUGGGACAAUGUAUGUUGUUAAAAUUGGAGCAAGAGGAAGAUGCACUUGUCAAUAGGUCUAAAAGUAAAAGUGAUGAGGACUAAACCAGGAGAGAGGGAGGAAGAAAAGACAAUGAAAACAAAUAUGAAGAUGAUGAUGAUGAUGAAAAUGAUGGUUAUGUUAUCCGCUUAAAAAGCAGUAACAAACACGUUUGUAACAACGACUUGAACAGCUUCAACGACAACACAAAAUGUCAUCUCAAGUUUGUCUCCAAAAGGCAGUGGAAACCGAUGAAAAUGGAUCAAUGAAAUGAACGCCAGGAGAAACCAGAAGAGCAAAGAUUGAAACUAUAAUCUUGAAAAAUGAGUUUCCAAAUUUACCUUUCAACUAGAUGAUGUGAAAAAGGCAAUUCAACCAUCAAAAUGGACUCUCGAAGAAAGGCUGUAAAAGGAGGAGGAGGAGGAUGAAGAUGAUAGUGAUGAUGAGGAUGAGGAAAGUGAAGAGGUAAACCAACAACAACAACAAAGGAACCAAAGUUAAGCCAGUUAAUGUUUUGCUUCAACAUAAGGAAGAUUCAUUCAUCCGAUAAAAAAGUCUUUACAUUGUACCAUCAAAUGAUCAUUGAGACAAUAUAAAGUCAUCACUUCUAUCAUCACCAUCUUUACCAUCUUCAUCAUUCAUUUCAUUUUCACCACUCAAUUAAUGCACUUUCAUAAUCGAUAAAUAUAAUGCCACCAUUCAAAUGUCGAGCUAGCCGUUUAGCUUUAACCUAAAAAUCAAUGUAAAAUUGGGUCAAAGAAAAGUGAACCAAUUAGAAAGAAUUGCUAUCAAUGAUUAAUGAAAAAUUCAAGAAAAAAAAAGAUCAGAUAAAUCAGCUUUAAAAUGGUUUCAAUUUUAAAGCCUUUUUGGAGCUGCAAAAGGUUGACCCAUUCAUUUUGGAUUCUGAUUGGAAGGAAAUUAUAACAUCUAUAUAAACCAUGUUCAAUACAAGUUAUCCUGUUAGGUGGUGUUUAUUGAUUCACAUUGAUUCGUUGUUGAUUAAAGUUCAUGUCCAAAGAAAAUGGAGAUUAAUGAUGAGAUAUUCGUUUGACAACAUUAUCGACUUACCUUUACAAUGGCAAA